This is a long non-coding RNA of Archocentrus centrarchus (flier cichlid), 538 nucleotides long. RefSeq lists it as uncharacterized. The record is from RefSeq and is a predicted model, not a curated record. NCBI's taxonomy places the organism in Eukaryota, Metazoa, Chordata, Actinopteri, Cichliformes, Cichlidae. The transcript has 3 exons.
GGUGUCGGCGGCAGGAUAAAAACGCUUAGAGUGUGAGUUGGGUGAUCCUUCUCCCUUGCCUUUCCUGGCGUAAAUGGUGUGAAAUAGUGGCAGCUUUUGGGCUACGUCAAAAUUGUGCGAUCACGAUAGCACGGCAGGCUAGCUGUUACACGCAGGAGCAGUCAUUAAUAGAUCGGCAGUGCGACCGUGGCUGUUCAUCGCGGACUCCUGUGUCGGUUGGUUGAGCGUGCCACACUUCUUUAAAGCCCAGCCGUAUUGGCGUUGGCCACCCCGACCGUGGGAUUAGUUCCCUGUGGGACAGUUCUGUUGUUUUGCCUUGAGAGGAAUUGAAGUGUACUCUGGAACAUCGUUGUCAAACACUUGAGCGUGGUGUGCCAUUAUAACGUUAAGUUAGCCACCCCAAGAAUCAGCAGUGUUGGACUUGUGGCAUGAUUCUGGAAUAUUGGACUUCUUUUUAACUGAUUUUAUUGUGUUUAUGUUCUUGUAGUGUGUGUAUGUGUGUGUGUGUGUGUGUGUGUGUGUGUGUGUGUGUGUGUGU